AAUGUUUUUAUGCCUAAAUCUUAAAUAGAAUGGGGAAUGCAUCAGCAACCCCCACACCCCCCUCCAGAUCAGCCAUGGAUGCCACCAACACCAGGCCCAAUGGACAUUGUUCCUCCUUCUGAAGACAGCAACAGUCAGGACAGUGGGGAAUUUGCCCCUGACAACAGGCAUAUAUUUAACCAGAACAAUCACAACUUUGGUGGACCACCCGAUAAUUUUGCAGUGGGGCCAGUGAACCAGUUUGACUAUCAGGUGAAAGAUAUUUUGUUGCUUUAAUAUUGUAGAUGUGCACGUAAUCCAUUCUUUGGAAGUGUCUCAUCAAGAAUACCUAAGAUACGUGUUUCACUUUUCAGACUUGUAUAAAUAAGCACAUUCUGUCUCAGUUAUCAAUUUUUGAGUAUUAAAAUAAUUAGAAUUUGUUUUCUGAUUUUUUUAUUUCAUUAGGAAAAUGGUAUAAAAGAUCAUUACGGAAAACUUUUGAAAAAAUUAAAAAUGUAUAAGUGCAAUAGCUAUAUGAUGUUUUAUUUUCUAAUUUAUAUUUCAAAAUGGUAUAUUUAAAUGUUAAAGACUAGAGAAUGCACAGUAAUUGAAUAUAGCUCAUGGUUAAGACAUGAAUAAAAAAUAUAGAUCAUUUUCCUAAGUGUAAUUCCUUGUGCUAUGUAGAAUUAUGACUGUUUUUCUAGUGUCAUUUUUUUUCCAUUCUGACAUGACAUGUUAAUGGAAUUGUAUAUAAUUUCCUCUGUAGCAUCCAAUUCAUUCCUAGGGACAUAGAACUCUGUGGGGAAUAGUGUUGUAUGUUGGGCUUUAUUUACUUCAUUCCCUCUGCCAGGGUCUACCCUUAAAUUAUAGUGCUAGGUGUCAUUUUGAAAUAACUGAUUGCAAUUAUUAACUUAUAAACUGCUAUCAUAAUUUAAAAUUUUGAAAGAAUUAUUUCAUGAAUUCUAGGGUAGAUUUGAUAAUGGACAUCUAGUAUUCACCUUGAGAUGGUAAUCCUCUCAUUAAUAAAUAUUCAGAUACUUGUAUACUUGGUAUACAGAUACAACAGUUUUUAUGUUGUUUGAAGAAAUAUAAUGGCAGGGAGCAUCUGCUUACCCUACUUUUGCAUGGUAGAUCCCAUGUAAACAAGACAAAGAGCUGUAUUGGCAGCUGGCCUAGAAAAGCCUCUGAAAAUAGCAAAAUUGCAGAAAAUAUUUAAUGAUUCAUUAACUUCUAUCUUUGCUUAUAAAUGAAUAUAUCUGCAAGAUUAUAGAAACAGCUUAAGUUGUUUAGUUCACUUUUUGUUCACUGUAAGUAGGAUGUUGAAAUUGACAAAAAUGUCUAGUUAAAGAGAAAUUAGUAUCUAUUUGAUGUCUUAGUGUUGGUAGGAUUAGCUUGUAAAUGGAUUCAGAAUGAAAAAUUUCAUAUACUUCUUGAAAGUAGCUUAUCAGCUGGCUUUUAGAAGCCUCUUUGCAUUUACAUAGCCGGAAAAUCUUAAGACAAGUAAGCCUAGGUUCUUGGGACCAUAGAAGUAUCGGUGGAUAUUAGAGCCAUGGAAUUCUUGGAUGUGCUGCACACAUGGAUUUCUACUGUCCCAGUUCAUAACACACGUGUGUCCCAGAGAGUAUAUUGUAUUAAUUUGAAGAAAAAAUAAACUGCAAUACUCUUUCAGCAUGGGGCUGCUUUUGGUCCACCGCAAGGUGGAUUUCAUCCUCCUUAUUGGCAACCAGGACCUCCAGGACCUCCAGCACCUCCCCAGAAUCGAAGAGAAAGGCCAUCAUCAUUCAGGGAUCGUCAGCGUUCACCUAUUGCACUUCCUGUGAAGCAGGAGCCUCCACAAAUUGACGCAGUAAAACGCAGGACUCUUCCCGCUUGGAUUCGCGAAGGUCUUGAAAAAAUGGAACGUGAAAAGCAGAAGAAAUUGGAGAAAGAAAGAAUGGAACAACAACGUUCACAAUUGUCC
RNAcentral lists this long non-coding RNA (1939 nucleotides) under Homo sapiens (human). Its description in RNAcentral is "non-protein coding lnc-USP45-2:5". The record is from RNAcentral. Lineage: Eukaryota; Metazoa; Chordata; Mammalia; Primates; Hominidae.